This 71-nucleotide transfer RNA is filed under the name Synanceia verrucosa (stonefish). Its description in RNAcentral is "tRNA-Val". It matches the Rfam family "tRNA". From Rfam's summary of the family: Transfer RNA (tRNA) molecules are approximately 80 nucleotides in length. The record is from RNAcentral. Lineage: Eukaryota; Metazoa; Chordata; Actinopteri; Perciformes; Synanceiidae.
CAGAGUAUAGCUAAAUAGAAAAGCAUCUCCCUUACACUGAGAAGUCAUCUGUGCAAACCAGAUUACCCUGA